UAAUUGAAGCUUGCACCAUUGUUUUUUUUUUUUUUUGUUUUGUUUGGUGUAUAGAUUUAUUAACCGACUCAUUAGCUCCUUAGUAAUCACACGUAAUUGUUUAGUACCUAUGUACAGUGUGUGUUGCUAUUACAUGUCAACACUGACUUUCAAUCUGUAUUAAUAAAAACAAUGCAAGAGUCUCCUGUUUCUAAUCCUUCCAUUUGGAAAAUGUGAGAAGCACUGCUGGGAAUGGCUAAUGUCUAGGUGUGGCUUCUUUCUUUUCUUUCUCGUUUCUUGACAUACCUCAGUUGAACCUGUCAUUGACAUGUCUAAUAUAGCCUUUAUAUGUACCGGUAUAUCCAUGUCAAAUGUCUAAAGCUGCAUGCUUCUAAGUUUUUUUUGUUUUUUUUAUUGGGGUUGACACAAAUAAUUGGGAUCUGGGUGUAAACACACUACCCUAAAGAAAAAAGAAUUAAAUUUUGGGGCUGGGGAUUGCUUUUUGACUUUGGAAUUGAUAUUUUUGUUUAUGAAAAUUUCUUAGUCCCUGCUAAAGUAUUGUGAUGGUUUGAUGAACUAUUCAGGGUCUUUCAGUACACCGUGGGUUCCUCUGGAUGCUGUGAUAACAAAGAGGUUGGUGAGGACAUGCACACUCUUAAUUCCACUCAGAAGUUUUUUUUGUAUUAUUUGUUUUGCUUUUAGUGUAACAUUUUUUUUUUGUGACCAGUAAAGUACUUCAGUUUUGGAAACAUCUUGAUGACUAGUGUAUUCAUGUCAAAAAAUUGUCCUUUUUUUGGUUAAAAGUUGAGUCAAUUUUUUUUUUCUUUUUUUUUUCUUUUUAGUUUUUAAUGUCUUCAUCAAAGCUAAUGAGUAACCAGCUCAUUUAAUUGUAAAAAGCCAGGCCACUUAAUAACUGGGUUUGUCUUGAAGGGUGAUGACCAAUGUGAUACUGUAUUAUAAAACCUAAUCUGACCCUCCUGACAUUCCUGUGUAUUUGAAGUGGUCUUUUUUCUUCAGUUGCAAUAUGUCGUUAGAUGUACGUCUUUUAUAUAUACAUAUACCUCGUCAGUUUUUUAUGUGUGUGUGUAAGACAGAAUGAAUGUAUGAAAUGGUUAAAUGGGGGGUCUAAUCAAACCCUUCAAUUUUUUAAAUGUAUAAUAUUGUGAAUGAAUUGGAAAAGCCUUAUUGUACCAUUUGUAUAUAAAUCUUUAAUAAAGUAAAAAAAAUGUUUUUGUGUUUUGUUUUGUUUCUAAAUACAAUGUCCUGUUUGAAUUACUGAUUUUAUAAUAAAGAUCAAAUAAA
Molecule: non-coding RNA, 1281 nt
Organism: Biomphalaria pfeifferi
Lineage: Eukaryota; Metazoa; Mollusca; Gastropoda; Planorbidae
Source: the annotation of a GenBank genome assembly